RNAcentral lists this ribosomal RNA (454 nucleotides) under uncultured bacterium. Its description in RNAcentral is "bacterial SSU rRNA". It matches the Rfam family "Bacterial small subunit ribosomal RNA", at positions 340 to 786 of the family's 1533-position model. The record is from RNAcentral.
UACGGAAGGCAGCAGUGGGGAAUAUUGCACAAUGGGCGAAAGCCUGAUGCAGCUAUGCCGCGCGUAUGAAGAAGGCCUUAGGGUUGUAAAGUACUUUCAUCGGGGAGGAAAAACAAAACUAAUAAUUUUAUUUCUUGACGUUACCCGAAAAAGAAGCACCGGCUAACUCCGUGCCAGCAGCCGCGGUAAUACGGAGGGUGCUAGCGUUAAUCAGAAUUACUGGGCGUAAAGAGCACGUAGGUGGUUUUUUUAAGUCAGAUGUGAAAUCCCUGGGCUUAACCUGGAACUGCAUUUUGAAACUGAAAUACUAGAGUAUCGUAGAGGGAGGUAGAAUUCUAGGUGUAGCGGUGAAAUGCGUAGAUAUCUGGAGGAAUACCUGUGGCGAAAGCGGCCUCCUAAACGAAUACUGACACUGAGGUGCGAAAGCGUGGGGAGCAAACAGGGAUUAGAUACC